AUUCAAAAGAACGGAGGUCAUAUUUGAAAAUAUUUGGGGAAAUUGUUUUAAACAAACCAAGUUUUCUUUAUAUAAGAAACAAAACCAAAAAAAUCCAAAACCAAACAAAAGAAAAAACCAAAAGAAAACAAACUACCCCCCCCAAAAAAAAGAAAAAUUGAGGAAAUUUAUCAGCAAUUAGCUGGCCCCUGGAUGGCACUGUUGUGCCUGGAAUUCUCCUUUGAAGUCUGACUAUUUAAACAAAUACAACUGUUGUCAGCUGUCUCUGUAAUACAUAUUAUCUGCAGGAUCUAGCAUUUGGAACUUGUUAUAUUUUAAUGUUUGAUUUCUAACGGGUGCUUAGGCAUCUCCUGUGCGUGAACUGCAACAAAAUCGCCCUUGACUGUGCUUUUUAUCAGGACUUUCAUGCUAGUGAGGCUAGCCCAAACUAGUCUUUUCAAAGUGUUACUUUAAGUUCCAUUUAGGAUGUUUCUGAAGGUGAUGCUGGAUGUUAAGUAGCAGUCUAGGUGUCGUCUCGAUCUGUAAAGAGCCAGCUGAAAAUACUUUGAGCUCAUCCCUUCAUCUUGUAGUGAAGGGAUUAUUUCCAACAGGAGCUGAAUUUAUUUUAAAGCGUAUGUUUGAGGAGAGUGCUUUGAGUCUCACUCCAGAUGAAGGGUGUUUACCACAGCUGGUGCUUCAUAAAAGUUCUGACUUGGACAGUUAUGUCCAGUUUAGAAAAAGUCAGCCAACUGUCAGAGACUGAACUUUUCUUUGUAGUACCACCAAUGUCAGGCAGCUACAGUGAUCUACAUGAGAAGGAGCUGAAUUUGACUGUAUCUGAGUAUAGAUUAGCAUUGGAUGUGAUACACACAAUGCCAUCAAUAUAUGUUUAAGAUUUACUGGAUACAAUCUCAUAUCUAGGUUGUAUUUGUUUGCAGUGGGUGUAAAAUUGGAUGCAAAAAAAUCCAGAAGGAAAGAUCGUCCAAGGAAAAUAAAGAGCUCCUUCCUUUUGUCUUGGUAUUUCAUGCAAAACUAAUCCCUACAUAGGCCAAUCUUAGGUUCCAUUGUGCAUCUUAGCAAAGAGAAAGACAAAAGCAGGAGCAGGGAGCCAGCUGUGCUUCUGUGAAUCCAGCCAGUGCCAGCCUGGCCUCACAUCAGAGUUGUUCCAUCUGUGUAGCCUAUUGGGUCAUAACUUCAAUUUUCCUUUCCAAUUCCUCUGAACACUGAAAUAACUUGCUUUGAAAGUUUCUUAUAGGCCCUGAUGACACAUUUCUGGCCCUUCUUCAUCCAACAAUUUUGUUUUCUUCCCAGUUAGUCAUUGCUGAAAGUAAGUGCUUCAUUUCUUUCUCCCUUUUUAAACCUCAGUGGCCAUCCAGAGUUAAGAAUCUUUGUGCCUCAUAGCUUCCUUGUCAGCCCUUUGUCAUACUAUUUUUUGACUUAAAUGCAUUCUAAGUCAAGAUUUUCUUGUCAGCUUGUCACAGUCAGGAUGCUUUGAGGCAUUGCCCCAUAUAACACUUUUGUACUUUGAUGCUUUGUUCUGACAUUUCUUCUUGUGGUGUCAGUAUUUCACUCCAGUAUUUUGGCACAUAUUCUCAGUGUUGGAAUUCAACUUUCUGAACUAUAUUUUCUCCUUUGUGAACAACUGUUCUGUGUUUGCACAUUGCAGGGCAGCAUAUAUGUGUGGGCUACAAAGAUGGUGAAGGGCCUAGAGGGGGAGGCCAAAUGGGGAGCAGCUGAGGUCACCUGUUUUGUUCAGGCUGGACAAGAGGAGACUGAGGGGAGACCUCACUGCAGCUACAGCUUCCUCAUGAGGGGAAGAUGAGAGGCAGGCACUGAUCUCUGCUCUGUGAUGACACUAACAGGACCCAAGGGAAUGGCCUGAAGCUAUAUCAGGGGAGGUUUAGGUUGGACAUUAGAAAAGGGUUUUUUCACCUAGAGAAUUUUUCCCCAGGAAAGUGGUCACAGCACCAAGCCUGACAAAGAUCAAGAAGUGUUUGGACAAUGCUCUAAAAUAUGUGGAGUGAUUCUUAGGAUGUCCUGUGCAAGGCCAGGAGUUGGACUUGAGUGAUCUUGAUGGGUCCCUUCCAACUCAGGAGGAACCCUUGAAAAUAAACUGCAGAAGCACUCUGAAGAGAUCCCAUGAGCAAAAAAUGGAUGGAGUCAAAUCUGAAGCUGAGCAGAAUUCAGGUAGAAUUACUCUUUCAGGAGUCCAGUCCAAGGAACUCAUCAAACUUCGCAGAUCAGAAGAUGAUCUGUGAAGCUUCCUCACUUCUAAAAUGAAGCUUUAGUUUGGAAAAUCAAAUGAUUAAAGUACAAAGAGUACUACUUUGAAAAUUGCGUAUUUACACGAUACUGUUAAGUGGUGAUUAAUGAGAAUCAUGGUUCAGUGUUGAUAACUAAUAGUUUUGAUAUGUGAGAAAGAUAAAAGACAUACAAGAACAAAUUUUAACAAUGUAAAAAUUUGAAUUUCUGAAUUCACAAUUUUUCUGAAUUCAAAAUUUUUUCUGAAUUCAAAACUCUGAAUUUCUUUCAGGCUGCUAAUUGACAGUUGUUCUUACCAGAAUGUGCAAAGGAUUGUGGCAUUUUAACCUGAGUUUUUAGAGACAUUGUUUCCUCAUAUCCUAUUCUUAAAGUAAACUGAUUUUUUUCUGGAAAAAAAAUCAUGCUUUGUCUCCAUGAAAAUCAGCAAAAUGUAAACAAAAGUUUGGAAUGCACUGUAAGUUUUCUUCAAAUAAUUAGUUAUACUCAGUAGUUCUUGGAACACUCAGAUUUUCUGUCACUGAUCUUCUGACUUUAAAGAAACAUCUGCUGUCCCUUAGGUUAUGAGCAUAAUCACAGAACUAAUAGAAGUUCUAAAAAGUUUGGGUAGCCAACAACAUGAGCAAACUUUGCAAUAUGAGGUGCAUAUUGCAUUUUAUGAUCUCAUAUAUAUUUCAAGCACUGCCCUUAUAUAUCUUCACCUGACCAUCUGUUGUAUCUUUGAAUAGGGAAGUACAUUACUGGCCAAUUUCAGGAUACAUAGAAUAUAAGAUAGAUUGUAGCAACUUGAGAGCAGAAGGUUCUACUUACAAGCAUGUGAGUCCAAUGAAUGGGUACUCAUUUGUAAUAUCAAGUUCUCAAGGAUAACUGUCUCAUGUGUUUCAUCAAAAUGAGCAAAAAGAACAAUUUUCAAUAAUUUGUAUUCAACAUGUAGUUUAUGAAACAGGCUGAUUUUUGUUUUAUACAAUGUAUAGAAACAAAAAAACUGGGACACUUUAUGCUUUAAAGUUGGAAAGUGUUUUCUUGGUUGUUUUUUGUGUGUGUGUGUGUCUGUGUGCUCCUGGCUUAGAACUAGUUUACAAUUAGUCUUAGAAAACGAAUGUUAAUAGCUAAACAUAAUUUGAGAGUGAGAGUCUGUUGUGAAAAUUCUGACUAAUGAAUCUGUAGCUCUAGCACCAUUAGCAGAAUUGUAUUUCAAGGUUUUUAAAAGUGGAGUUGAGAAAUAAAGAUGAAAAAUUAAUGAGUCUUUUUAAUUUACAGGGUUGAACCAGCCCAAACAGUAAAAAGUGUUUCAUUUAAAAGUGCUCCGUGUCAUUACAAGAGAGUACAUUAUGUGAUAUACCCAGAGUUUAUGUAACAUGUUAUCCUUUGGCAAAGAUUAAACAUACUGAGCUUUCAAGCCACAAAAUGAUGGAGAAAAUUUGGUGUCUUUCCAAUGUCAAAGCUGUUGUUGAAUAUUUGCUGUGAAACUAUAAACAAGAUAAUUUUCUGAAUUCUAAAAGCUUGGGGCUGAUGUGGUGGAAAGCAACUUGGCAGGAAAACACCUUGGUAUCCUGGUGGGCACUAGUUGACCAUGACCUAGAAGUGCACCCGCACAGCAAAAAAGGCCAGAACUCUCCUGGGUUAUACUAGGAAUGACAUUGCCUGCUGGUAGGUUGAGGAUAGUGUUUCUCCCCCUCUGUCACAUGUGAGACACAUCUGAAAAUGUCAGUCUAGCUCUAGGCUUCCCAGUGCAAAAAAGACAUGGACAUCCUGGAUCAAGUCAAGUGGAGGAUGACUACAGGACCAUAUGUUCAAGGAACAUGCAAGACAGUUGGGACUGCUCAGCCUUGAGAAAGCUUAGGGGGAUCGUACCAAUGAAUAUAAAUAUGUGAUGAAUGUAGCAGUGCCUUCUUGAUAUGACCAAGAGGCAGCAGGUGCAAACUGAUAAUAAUAUCAAAACCCAGUGAAUAAGUAAGUUUUUGGUGUUUAUUACUCUAUAUUGAAACAGGCAAGUGAUGAGAAGAAGAGUAGGCCAUUCCUAACUGAUCAGUGUUUAUAUCUCAGUUCUUUGGGUUUUUUGAGCAACUUUGUCAUAGCUUGAGGGAACACAUCAGGGGUAGAAUCUUGUAUUCUGGUCAGAAGAACACUGCUAGAGUGAUGAAAAGAUGUUAGCCAGCAGACUUGAGUGAUUUGAACAAAAGAGCCCUCCUUUUAUGUUUUUUGAGGGUUUUUUUGUUUGUUUGUUUUGUGAUGUGAUUUUGUAGGAAGGUGGCCUGUGUUUUUUGUAGCAAGUGAGUAAUAUGCUAGAACAUGUAAGACUCAAGGAUGUUGUUACUGCUUAAAUAUAUUAGGCACCUGCCAUGGUUUUCUUCACAGUCUCCAAAUUAGACCUCCUUUUCAGCCCACUGAAGAUUAUUCUCAAUAGAGAUUCAACCAUACAGAUUGUCAGAGUUUUUCUUCCUGUCUCUUUUCAAAUUGCCUGCAUUAUAUACAUCUGUUCUUGUUUCCAACUUGAUCUAACUUCCAUUUCUGAAAUAAAAGCCUGUCUUGCAUGCCAUAAGCUGUGAAACAGAAUAGGAAAAUAAUUGUAUCUGUUGUCUUGGAUUUUUUAAUUUUUCUUGCAUUUUAUUGAUGUUUCUAAUAAGCACUCCAGCAAAUUUUA
Long non-coding RNA from Passer domesticus (house sparrow), 4882 nucleotides. RefSeq lists it as uncharacterized. The record is from RefSeq and is a predicted model, not a curated record. Lineage: Eukaryota; Metazoa; Chordata; Aves; Passeriformes; Passeridae. The transcript is spliced from 3 exons.